This 305-nucleotide ribosomal RNA is filed under the name uncultured bacterium. RNAcentral's name for it is "partial 16S ribosomal RNA". It matches the Rfam family "Bacterial small subunit ribosomal RNA", at positions 505 to 809 of the family's 1533-position model. The record is from RNAcentral.
ACAGCAGUCGCCACGGUAAUACGAAGGGUGCAAGCGUUACUCGGAAUUACUGGGCGUAAAGCGUGCGUAGGUGGUGGUUUAAGUCCGUUGUGAAAGCCCUGGGCUCAACCUGGGAAUUGCAGUGGAUACUGGGUCACUAGAGUGUGGUAGAGGAUAGUGGAAUUUCCGGUGUAGCAGUGAAAUGCGUAGAGAUCGGAAGGAACAUCUGUGGCGAAGGCGACUAUCUGGGCCAACACUGACGCUGAGGUACGAAAGCAUGGGGAGCAAACAGGAUUAGAUACCCCGGUAGUCCCUGUCUCUUAUAA